AGGACGAACGCUGGCGGCGUGCUUAACACAUGCAAGUCGAGCGAGACUUCGGUCUAGCGGCGAACGGGUGAGUAACACGUGGGCAACCUGCCCCGAGCUCUGGGAUAACUCCGGGAAACCGGGGCUAAUACCGGAUACGACCCGAGAAGACAUCUUCUCGGGUGGAAAGUUUUUCGGCUCGGGAUGGGCCCGCGGCCUAUCAGCUUGUUGGUGGGGUAACGGCCUACCAAGGCGACGACGGGUAGCCGGCCUGAGAGGGCGACCGGCCACACUGGGACUGAGACACGGCCCAGACUCCUACGGGAGGCAGCAGUGGGGAAUAUUGCGCAAUGGGCGAAAGCCUGACGCAGCGACGCCGCGUGAGGGAUGAAGGCCUUCGGGUUGUAAACCUCUUUCAGCAGGGACGAAGCGAAAGUGACGGUACCUGCAGAAGAAGCACCGGCCAACUACGUGCCAGCAGCCGC
RNAcentral lists this ribosomal RNA (464 nucleotides) under uncultured bacterium. RNAcentral's name for it is "SSU rRNA". It matches the Rfam family "Bacterial small subunit ribosomal RNA", at positions 26 to 518 of the family's 1533-position model. The record is from RNAcentral.